RNAcentral lists this unclassified non-coding RNA (383 nucleotides) under Bombus terrestris (buff-tailed bumblebee). Its description in RNAcentral is "misc RNA ENSBTSG00005021807.1". The record is from RNAcentral. Lineage: Eukaryota; Metazoa; Arthropoda; Insecta; Hymenoptera; Apidae.
CAGAAGGUGUAUCAAAUAAUAAUAAUAGAUAAGAUAUUUAUAAAAUAUUGAUCUGAUAUCACACCUGCUGACCACAUUUUCACCGAAGACCUACUGCUGAAUUGCCCCAUGAUCAUCUCCAAAUAGUAGAAUGGUUUCCCAACGAGGAACAAGACGAUGAUGUAAGGUAUUAGAAAUACCCCACCGCCAUUCUCGUAAGCUGUGAAUGGAAAUCGCCAAACGUUGCCCAGACCUAUGGACAUGGCGAUGCAGGACAUUAGAAAUUCUAAUCCAUUGCCCCAGGAUCAACGAAACCGAUCAAUGUUUGAUUUGCAAUGAUUUGGAGUUGGAAAUUGGGGAACAUUUUCUGCUCAGUUGUAUUCAGCACCAAGCUUACAAACACC